AUUGAACGCUGGCGGCAUGCCUUACACAUGCAAGUCGAACGGCAGCACGGGAGCAAUCCUGGUGGCGAGUGGCGAACGGGUGAGUAAUAUAUCGGAACGUGCCCGGUCGUGGGGAUAACGUAGCGAAAGCUACGCUAAUACCGCAUACGAUCUACGGAUGAAAGCGGGGGAUCGCAAGACCUCGCGCGAUUGGAGCGGCCGAUAUCAGAUUAGGUAGUUGGUGAGGUAAAGGCUCACCAAGCCGACGAUCUGUAGCUGGUCUGAGAGGACGACCAGCCACACUGGGACUGAGACACGGCCCAGACUCCUACGGGAGGCAGCAGUGGGGAAUUUUGGACAAUGGGCGCAAGCCUGAUCCAGCCAUGCCGCGUGUGUGAAGAAGG
This 383-nucleotide ribosomal RNA is filed under the name uncultured bacterium. RNAcentral's name for it is "bacterial SSU rRNA". It matches the Rfam family "Bacterial small subunit ribosomal RNA", at positions 30 to 414 of the family's 1533-position model. The record is from RNAcentral.